GACGAACGCUGGCGGCGUGCUUAACACAUGCAAGUCGAACGGAAAGGCCCUGCUUUUGUGGGGUGCUCGAGUGGCGCACGGGUGAGUAACACGUGAGUAACCUGCCCUUGACUUUGGGAUAACUUCAGGAAACUGGGGCUCAUACCGGAUAGGAGCUCCUGCUGCAUGGGGUGGGUUGGAAAAUUUCGGCGGUUGGGGAUGGAAUCGCGGCUUCUCCGCUUGUUGGGGGGGUAGUGGCUUACCAGAGCUUUGAAGGGUAGCCGGCCUGAGAGGGUGACCGGCCACCUGGGGACUGAGAUACGGCCCAGACUCCUACGGGAGGCAGCAGUGGGGAGUAUUGCACAAUGGGCGGAAGCCUGAUGCAGCAACGCCGCGUGCGGGAUGACGGCCUUCGGGUGGUAAACCGCUUUCGCCUGUGACGAAGCGUGAGUGACGGUAAUGGGUAAAGAAGCACCGGCUAACUACGUG
This 468-nucleotide ribosomal RNA is filed under the name uncultured bacterium. RNAcentral's name for it is "partial 16S ribosomal RNA". It matches the Rfam family "Bacterial small subunit ribosomal RNA", at positions 28 to 507 of the family's 1533-position model. The record is from RNAcentral.